CAAGACGUUUCGGAAUUAUUGGGCGUAAGGGCUCGUAGGCGGCUCGUCGCGUCUGCCGUGAAAUCCUCAGGCUCAACCUGGGGCGUGCGGUGGGUACGGGCGGGCUAGAGUGUGGUAGGGGUGACUGGAAUUCCUGGUGUAGCGGUGGAAUGCGCAGAUAUCAGGAGGAACACCGAUGGCGAAGGCAGGUCACUGGGCCACAACUGACGCUGAGGAGCGAAAGCGUGGGGAGCGAACAGGAUUAGAUACCCUGGUAGUCCACGCUGUAAACGUUGGGCGCUAGGUGUGGGGACCGUUCCACGGUUUCCGUGCCGCAGCAAACGCAUUAAGCGCCCCGCCUGGGGAGUACGGCCGCAAGGCUAAAACUCAAAGAAAUUGACGGGGGCCCGCACAAGCGGCGGAGCAUGCGGAUUAAUUCGAUGCAACGCGAAGAACCUUACCAAGGCUUGACAUACACUAGAAGUCGCCAGAGAUGGUGGUGCCUUCGGGCUGGUGUACAGGUGGUGCAUGGUUGUCGUCAGCUCGUGUCGUGAGAUGUUGGGUUAAGUCCCGCAACGAGCGCAACCCUCGUCCUGUGUUGCCAGCGCGUUGUGGCGGGGACUCAUGGGAGACUGCCGGGGUCAACUCGGAGGAAGGUGGGGACGACGUCAAAUCAUCAUGCCCCUUAUGUCUUGGGCUUCACGCAUGCUACAAUGGCCGGUACAGAGGGCUGCGAUACCGUGAGGUGGAGCGAAUCCCUAAAAGCCGGUCUCAGUUCGGAUCGGGGUCUGCAACUCGACCCCGUGAAGUUGGAGUCGCUAGUAAUCGCAGAUCAGCAACGCUGCGGUGAAUACGUUCCCGGGCCUUGUACUCACCGCCCGU
RNAcentral lists this ribosomal RNA (861 nucleotides) under uncultured Treponema sp. RNAcentral describes it as "bacterial SSU rRNA". It matches the Rfam family "Bacterial small subunit ribosomal RNA", at positions 535 to 1397 of the family's 1533-position model. Lineage: Bacteria; Pseudomonadati; Spirochaetota; Spirochaetia; Treponematales; Treponemataceae. The record is from RNAcentral.